RNAcentral lists this ribosomal RNA (836 nucleotides) under Planctomycetaceae bacterium UBA6163. RNAcentral's name for it is "bacterial SSU rRNA". It matches the Rfam family "Bacterial small subunit ribosomal RNA", at positions 8 to 856 of the family's 1533-position model. The record is from RNAcentral. Lineage: Bacteria; Pseudomonadati; Planctomycetota; Planctomycetia; Planctomycetales; Planctomycetaceae.
AGGGUUUGAUCCUGGCUCAGAAUGAACGUUGGCGGCGUGGAUUAGGCAUGCAAGUCGUGCGAGAAUCUCCUUCGGGAGAGGACAGCGGCGAAAGGGAGAGUAACAGGUGGUUACAUACCCUCAGGUUCGGGAUAGUGUCGGGAAACUGACAGUAAUACCGAAUAACAUCUAAGGAUCAAAGGUGUGAUUCCGCCUGAGGAUUGGACCGCUUUCUAUUAGCUUGUUGGCGGGGUAAUGGCCCACCAAGGCUGCGAUGGAUACCGGGUGUGAGAGCAUGGCCCGGCUCACUGGGACUGAGACACUGCCCAGACACCUACGGGUGGCUGCAGUCGAGAAUCUUCGGCAAUGGACGAAAGUCUGACCGAGCGACGCCGCGUGCGGGAUGAAGGCCUUCGGGUUGUAAACCGCUGUCAGUUGGGAGGAAAUAUUAGGGGGUACUCCCCUUAAUUUGACCGAUCUUCAGAGGAAGGACGGGCUAAGUUCGUGCCAGCAGCCGCGGUAAGACGAACCGUCCAAACGUUAUUCGGUAUCACUGGGCUUAAAGCGUGCGUAGGCGGCCUGGUAGGUGAGAUGUGAAAGCCCACGGCUCAACCGUGGAAUUGCGUUUCAAACCACCAGGCUUGAGGAUGGCAGGGGUGAUGGGAACUGAUGGUGGAGCGGUGAAAUGCGUUGAUAUCAUCAGGAACACCGGUGGCGAAGGCGCAUCACUGGGCCAUUUCUGACGCUGAGGCACGAAAGCUAGGGUAGCGAACGGGAUUAGAUACCCCGGUAGUCCUAGCUGUAAACGAUGAGCACUGGGUUGAGGGGACUUCCACAUCUUCUCGGCCGUAGCGAAA